AUGAACGCUAGCUACAGGCUUAACACAUGCAAGUCGAGGGGCAGCAUUUCAGUUUGCUUGCAAACUGGAGAUGGCGACCGGCGCACGGGUGAGUAACACGUAUCCAACCUGCCGAUAACUCGGGGAUAGCCUUUCGAAAGAAAGAUUAAUACCCGAUGGUAUAAUCAGACCGCAUGGUCUUGUUAUUAAAGAAUUUCGGUUAUCGAUGGGGAUGCGUUCCAUUAGGCAGUUGGUGAGGUAACGGCUCACCAAACCUUCGAUGGAUAGGGGUUCUGAGAGGAAGGUCCCCCACAUUGGAACUGAGACACGGUCCAAACUCCUACGGGAGGCAGCAGUGAGGAAUAUUGGUCAAUGGGCGCAGGCCUGAACCAGCCAAGUAGCGUGAAGGAUGACUGCCCUAUGGGUUGUAAACUUCUUUUAUAUGGGAAUAAAGUUUUCCACGUGUGGAAUUUUGUAUGUACCAUAUGAAUAAGGAUCGGCUAACUCCGUGCCAGCAGCCGCGGUAAUACGGAGGAUCCGAGCGUUAUCCGGAUUUAUUGGGUUUAAAGGGAGCGUAGGUGGACAGUUAAGUCAGUUGUGAAAGUUUGCGGCUCAACCGUAAAAUUGCAGUUGAUACUGGCUGUCUUGAGUACAGUAGAGGUGGGCGGAAUUCGUGGUGUAGCGGUGAAAUGCUUAGAUAUCACGAAGAACUCCGAUUGCGAAGGCAGCUCACUGGACUGCAACUGACACUGAUGCUCGAAAGUGUGGGUAUCAAACAGGAUUAGAUACCCUGGUAGUCCACACAGUAAACGAUGAAUACUCGCUGUUUGCGAUAUACAGUAAGCGGCCAAGCGAAAGCAUUAAGUAUUCCACCUGGGGAGUACGCCGGCAACGGUGAAACUCAAAGGAAUUGACGGGGGCCCGCACAAGCGGAGGAACAUGUGGUUUAAUUCGAUGAUACGCGAGGAACCUUACCCGGGCUUAAAUUGCAUUUGAAUAUAUUGGAAACAGUAUAGCCGUAAGGCAAAUGCGAAGGUGCUGCAUGGUUGUCGUCAGCUCGUGCCGUGAGGUGUCGGCUUAAGUGCCAUAACGAGCGCAACCCUUAUCUUUAGUUACUAACAGGUCAUGCUGAGGACUCUAGAGAGACUGCCGUCGUAAGAUGUGAGGAAGGUGGGGAUGACGUCAAAUCAGCACGGCCCUUACGUCCGGGGCUACACACGUGUUACAAUGGGGGGUACAGAAGGCAGCUACCUGGUGACAGGAUGCUAAUUCCAAAAGCCUCUCUCAGUUCGGAUCGAAGUCUGCAACCCGACUUCGUGAAGCUGGAUUCGCUAGUAAUCGCGCAUCAGCCAUGGCGCGGUGAAUACGUUCCCGGGCCUUGUACACACCGCCCGUCAAGCCAUGAAAGCCGGGGGUACCUGAAGUACGUAACCGCAAGGAUCGUCCUAGGGUAAAACUGGUGACUGG
RNAcentral lists this ribosomal RNA (1446 nucleotides) under uncultured organism. RNAcentral describes it as "SSU rRNA". It matches the Rfam family "Bacterial small subunit ribosomal RNA". The record is from RNAcentral.